RNAcentral lists this ribosomal RNA (746 nucleotides) under Russula mediterranea. RNAcentral describes it as "Martellia mediterranea partial large subunit ribosomal RNA". It matches the Rfam family "Eukaryotic large subunit ribosomal RNA", at positions 78 to 799 of the family's 3401-position model. Lineage: Eukaryota; Fungi; Basidiomycota; Agaricomycetes; Russulales; Russulaceae. The record is from RNAcentral.
CCCUAGUAACUGCGAGUGAAGCGGGAAAAGCUCAAAUUUAAAAUCUGGUGGUCUUUGGCCAUCCGAGUUGUAAUUUAGAGAAGCGUCUUCCGCGCUGGACCAUGCACAAGUCUCCUGGAAUGGAGCGUCAUAGAGGGUGAGAAUCCCGUCUUUGGCAUGGACCCCCAGUGCUUCUGUGAUGCGCUCUCAAAGAGUCGAGUUGUUUGGGAAUGCAGCUCAAAAUGGGUGGUGAACUCCAUCUAAAGCUAAAUAUUGGCGANANACCGAUAGCGAACAAGUACCGUGAGGGAAAGAUGAAAAGCACUUUGGAAAGAGAGUGAAACAGUACGUGAAAUUGUUGAAAGGGAAACGCUUGAAGUCAGUCGCGUCGACCGAGACUCAGCCUUGCCUUGGCUUGGUGUACUUCUCGGCUGACGGGUCAGCAUCAAUUUUGAUCCUUGGAUAAUGGCAAGGGAAAGGUAGCACCUUUACAGGUGUGUUAUAGUCCUCUGUCGGAUGCAGGGGUUGGGAUUGAGGAACUCAGCACGCACCUUGUCGGNGUCGAGGCCCUUGGCCUACGUUACGUGCUUAGGAUGCUGGCAUAAUGGCUUUAAACGACCCGUCUUGAAACACGGACCAAGGAGUCUAACAUGCACGCNNGUGUNCGGGUGGAAAACCCGUGCGCGUAAUGAAAGUAAAAGUUGGGACCUCUGUCGUGGAGGGCACCGACGCCCGGACCAGACCUUCUGUGACGGNUCUGCGGUAGA